RNAcentral lists this ribosomal RNA (429 nucleotides) under Fusobacteriota bacterium. RNAcentral describes it as "Fusobacteria bacterium partial 16S ribosomal RNA". It matches the Rfam family "Bacterial small subunit ribosomal RNA", at positions 355 to 776 of the family's 1533-position model. The record is from RNAcentral. Lineage: Bacteria; Fusobacteriati; Fusobacteriota.
UGGGGAAUAUUGCGCAAUGGGCGAAAGCCUGACGCAGCGACGCCGCGUGAGGGAUGAAGGUUUUCGGAUCGUAAACCUCUGUCAGAAGGGAAGAAACCGCACUGUGCUAAUCAGCAGUGCCUUGACGGUACCUUCAAAGGAAGCACCGGCUAACUCCGUGCCAGCAGCCGCGGUAAUACGGAGGGUGCAAGCGUUAAUCGGAAUUACUGGGCGUAAAGCGCACGUAGGCUGCUUUGUAAGUCAGGGGUGAAAUCCCACGGCUCAACCGUGGAACUGCCUUUGAUACUGCUUAGCUUGAAUCCGGGAGAGGGUGGCGGAAGUCCAGGUGUAGAAGUGAAAUCCGUAGAUAUCUGGAGGAACAUCAGUGGCGAAGGCGGCCACCUGGACCGGUAUUGACGCUGAGGUGCGAAAGCGUGGGGAGCAAACAGG